AAGUCGUAACAAGGUUUCCGUAGGUGAACCUGCGGAAGGAUCAUUAACAAUUCUUUCUAUUUUGAUUGAUCUGUGUGAACUGUGUUAAUUUGGGUGGGUGUUGCUGCUAUAAGGGAGAUUGUGUAGAUGAUCGUAGAUCUUGUGGCAGAAAUCUAUCCACUCAAAACAACAUUAACGUCUACUUUUGUGAUUCAAUGAUUUCUUUUGUAUAGCAAAAGAAAAUUUAAUCUUAAUAACUUUUAACAAUGGAUCUCUUGGCUCUU
Molecule: unclassified non-coding RNA, 263 nt
Filed under: fungal sp.
Lineage: Eukaryota; Fungi
Description: partial internal transcribed spacer region
Rfam family: Eukaryotic small subunit ribosomal RNA (bases 1-46)
Source: RNAcentral